GAUGAAGAACGCAGCGAAAUGCGAUAAGUAAUGUGAAUUGCAGAAUUCAGUGAAUCAUCGAAUCUUUGAACGCACAUUGCGCCCGCCAGUAUUCUGGCGGGCAUGCCUGUUCGAGCGUCAUUUCAACCAUCAAGCCCCCGGCUUGUGUUGGGGACCUGCGGCUGCCGCAGGCCCUGAAAACCAGUGGCGGGCUCGCUAGUCACUCCGAGCGUAGUAAUACAUCUCGCUCAGGGCGUGCUGCGGGUUCCGGCCGUUAAAAAGCCUUAUUUACCCAAGGUUGACCUCGGAUCAGGUAGGAAGACCCGCUGAGCUUAAGCAUAUCAAUAAGCGGAGGA
This 335-nucleotide unclassified non-coding RNA is filed under the name soil metagenome. RNAcentral's name for it is "partial contains 5.8S ribosomal RNA, internal transcribed spacer 2, and large subunit ribosomal RNA". The stretch from base 1 to 120 matches the Rfam family "5.8S ribosomal RNA", at positions 35 to 154 of the family's 154-position model. The record is from RNAcentral.